This 496-nucleotide ribosomal RNA is filed under the name uncultured bacterium. Its description in RNAcentral is "partial 16S ribosomal RNA". It matches the Rfam family "Bacterial small subunit ribosomal RNA", at positions 28 to 506 of the family's 1533-position model. The record is from RNAcentral.
GAUGAACGCUGGCGGCGUGCCUAAUACAUGCAAGUCGAGCGAACAGACGAGGAGCUUGCUCCUCUGACGUUAGCGGCGGACGGGUGAGUAACACGUGGAUAACCUACCUAUAAGACUGGGAUAACUUCGGGAAACCGGAGCUAAUACCGGAUAAUAUAUUGAACCGCAUGGUUCAAUAGUGAAAGACGGUUUUGCUGUCACUUAUAGAUGGAUCCGCGCCGCAUUAGCUAGUUGGUAAGGUAACGGCUUACCAAGGCGACGAUGCGUAGCCGACCUGAGAGGGGGAGCGGCCAACCUGGAACGGAGACACGGCCCAGACCCCUACGGGAGGCAGCGGUAGGGAAUUUUCCGCAAUGGGCGAAAGCCUGACGGAGCAACCCCGCGGGGGUGAUGAAGGUCUUCGGAUCGUAAAACUUUUUUAUUGGGGAAAAAAAAAUGUGUAAGUAACUUUGCACGUCUUGACGGUACCUAAUCAAAAAGCCACGGCUAACUACGU